This 254-nucleotide ribosomal RNA is filed under the name uncultured bacterium. RNAcentral's name for it is "partial 16S ribosomal RNA". It matches the Rfam family "Bacterial small subunit ribosomal RNA", at positions 524 to 776 of the family's 1533-position model. The record is from RNAcentral.
CACGUAGGGUGCGAGCGUUGUCCGGAAUUAUUGGGCGUAAAGAGCUCGUAGGCGGUGUGUCGCGUCGGCCGUGAAAACCUGCAGCUUAACUGUGGGCUUGCGGUCGAUACGGGCAUCACUGGAGUUCGGCAGGGGAGACUGGAAUUCCUGGUGUAGCGGUGAAAUGCGUAGAUAUCUGGAGGAACACCGGUGGCGAAGGCGGCAUCCUGGACCAACAUUGACGCUGAGGAGCGAAAGCUAGGGGAGCAAACGGG